Molecule: small RNA, 74 nt
Filed under: Cervus elaphus hippelaphus
Lineage: Eukaryota; Metazoa; Chordata; Mammalia; Artiodactyla; Cervidae
Rfam family: Small nucleolar RNA U13
Source: RNAcentral
UUCACGCUGCUGCGUGACAUGUGCCUCCCUCACAAACCUUGUUACGACAUCGGCACAUUACCUGUCUGACGUAA